CCUACGGGAGGCUGCAGUGGGGAAUAUUGGGCAAUGGGCGCAAGCCUGACCCAGCAACGCCGCGUGAAGGAAGAAGGCCCUCGGGUUGUAAACUUUUUUUAUCAAGGACGAAACAAAUGACGGUACUUGCUGAAUAAGUCACGGCUAACUACGUGCCAGCAGCCGCGGUAAUACGUAGGUCGCAAGCGUUAUUCGGAUUUACUGGGUGUAAAGGGUGAUUAGGCGGGACUGCAAGUCAGAUGUGAAAACCAUGGGAUCAAACCAUUGCCUGCAUUUGAAACUGUAGUUCUUGAGUGGUGGAGAGGCAGGCGGAAUUCCGGGUGUAGCGGUGAAAUGCGUAGAUAUACGGAAGAACACCGGUGGCGAAGGCAGCCUGCUGGACAAUAACUGACGCUGAGGCGCGAAAGCGUGGGGAGCAAACAGGAUUAGAUACCCUUGUAGUC
This 443-nucleotide ribosomal RNA is filed under the name uncultured bacterium. RNAcentral's name for it is "partial 16S ribosomal RNA". It matches the Rfam family "Bacterial small subunit ribosomal RNA", at positions 338 to 795 of the family's 1533-position model. The record is from RNAcentral.